Dendroctonus ponderosae (mountain pine beetle) is the source of this 998-nucleotide long non-coding RNA. RefSeq lists it as uncharacterized. Lineage: Eukaryota; Metazoa; Arthropoda; Insecta; Coleoptera; Curculionidae. The record is from RefSeq and is a predicted model, not a curated record. The transcript is spliced from 2 exons.
UUGUCUUCACUUAAAUUGUUUACACCUUUUCAGGAAAGUUAUUUAGCAAACAAUACAUUGCUAAUUAAACCCCUUUCAGACUUUGUUCGGCAAGCCCGAAGAACAUCAACUCACCAUUAUUCCAUUAGAUACAAGAUAUUUUCGGAAAUAUGAAAAUCGUUCAUUAGCACUUUGCUUAAUUUCGUCAAAAAUACCGGUACGGAGAAAUUGCACAGGAACUUUUCAAUUAGCGUGUCUAUAUGAUUAAUAUCGGGCUUUUUUGCGGUAUUUUCGGUUUAUAUAUAGUUGAGAUGUGUGAUAGGUGCCAUUUCAGUAGGUAAUAGAUUCUGCAUCUGUGUAGGAAUAAUAAGUACUUAGUUUAAGUGGAAACUAUUUGAAAUCUGUACUUAAUGGAGCUGAAAUCGAUUUACAUUUUGCAGUUUGGCCUGCUAAGUCACCUAAUAACCCAAUCAGCAACAUGGCCAUUCUCUCCUGAGGUAGAAACGAUUGCAAUUUAUUCACCUUUGGACAAUAAAAAAUACGUUCCCCUUUCGGCCAAACUCAUCGAUUCAAGCGCUCCAGUAGAUGAUUCUUUGGCUACUAAAAAGGAUCUGAAACGGAAAGAUGUUGUUGUUGCUCAAUCCUCUUCGAUAUCCCAACCGCAAAGCCAUUUCGAAGAAGCAAAUCAUCCAAGUGGAAUAUUGAAGUUAGAGCCUGCAAAUUAUCACAGAAUAUCCAAAAGACAAACACGAAGAUUUCCGUUCUACCGGCCGGUGGCCAGGUUUAGUGGCUUCAGCAGUAGCAGGCGAAGAGUGGAUGGAUUCUUCAGAAGACCUGGCUUGGUUGGCUAUUUGAACGAUCGGGACUAUUUCCCGACAGUAGCUUGACCUGAUUUUUUUCUUCAAAUUAUUUAUAUUUAAUUUAUUUUUGAUUAAAUGGGGGGUUUUCCUCAACUAGCUGCUAGUCAAAACAGUGAUUUUGCACGUAGCAGUUGCUUACAACUGACUGUUCAACACCAA